GGGGCUGUAGCUCAGUCGGGAGAGCGCCGCUUUCGCAAGGCGGAGGUCGGGGGUUCGAAUCCCCUCAGCUCCA
This 73-nucleotide transfer RNA is filed under the name Candidatus Aerophobota bacterium. RNAcentral's name for it is "tRNA-Ala". It matches the Rfam family "tRNA". From Rfam's summary of the family: Transfer RNA (tRNA) molecules are approximately 80 nucleotides in length. Their secondary structure includes four short double-helical elements and three loops (D, anti-codon, and T loops). Further hydrogen bonds mediate the characteristic L-shaped molecular structure. tRNAs have two regions of fundamental functional importance: the anti-codon, which is responsible for specific mRNA codon recognition, and the 3' end, to which the tRNAs corresponding amino acid is attached (by aminoacyl-tRNA synthetases). tRNAs cope with the degeneracy of the genetic code in two manners: having more than one tRNA (with a specific anti-codon) for a particular amino acid; and 'wobble' base-pairing, i.e. permitting non-standard base-pairing at the 3rd anti-codon position. The record is from RNAcentral. Lineage: Bacteria; Candidatus Aerophobota.